AUGAACGCUGGCGGCGUGCUUAACACAUGCCAGUCGCACGGAAAGGCUCCUGCUUGCAGGGGUACUCGAGUGGCGAACGGGUGAGUAACACGUGGGUGAUCUGCCCUGCACUUCGGGAUAAGCCUGGGAAACUGGGUCUAAUACCGGAUAGGACCACAUUUUGGAUGGUGUGGUGGAAAGUUUUUCGGUGUGGGAUGAGCUCGCGGCCUAUCAGCUUGUUGGUGGGGUAAUGGCCUACCAAGGCGUCGACGGGUAGCCGGCCUGAGAGGGUGUACGGCCACAUUGGGACUGAGAUACGGCCCAGACUCCUACGGGAGGCAGCAGUGGGGAAUAUUGCACAAUGGGCGCAAGCCUGAUGCAGCGACGCCGCGUGGGGGAUGACGGCCUUCGGGUUGUAAACUCCUUUCGCUAGGGACGAAGCGCAAGUGACGGUACCUGGAGAAGAAGCACCGGCUAACUACGUG
Molecule: ribosomal RNA, 464 nt
Filed under: uncultured bacterium
Lineage: Bacteria
Description: partial 16S ribosomal RNA
Rfam family: Bacterial small subunit ribosomal RNA
Source: RNAcentral